CGAACGGUAACAGGAAGCAGCUUGCUGCUUCGCUGACGAGUGGCGGACGGGUGAGUAAUGUCUGGGAAACUGCCUGAUGGAGGGGGAUAACUACUGGAAACGGUAGCUAAUACCGCAUAACGUCGCAAGACCAAAGAGGGGGACCUUCGGGCCUCUUGCCAUCGGAUGUGCCCAGAUGGGAUUAGCUAGUAUGUGGGGUAACGGCUCACCUAGGCGACGAUCCCUAGCUGGUCUGAGAGGAUGACCAGCCACACUGGAACUGAGACACGGUCCAGACUCCUACGGGAGGCAGCAGUGGGGAAUAUUGCACAAUGGGCGCAAGCCUGAUGCAGCCAUGCCGCGUGUAUGAAGAAGGCCUUCGGGUUGUAAAGUACUUUCAGCGGGGAGGAAGGCGACAGGGUUUAUAACCCUCUCGAUUGUACGUUACCCGCAGAAGAAGCACCGGCUAACUCCGUGCCAGCAGCCGCGGUAAUACGGAGGGCGCAAGCGUUAAUCGGAAUUACUGGGCGUAAAGCGCACGCAGGCGGUCUGUCAAGUCGGAUGUGAAAUCCCCGGGCUCAACCUGGGAACUGCAUUCGAAACUGGCAGGCUAGAGUCUUGUAGAGGGGGGUAGAUAUUCCAGGUGUAGCGGUGAAAUGCGUAGAGAUCUGGAGGAAUACC
RNAcentral lists this ribosomal RNA (660 nucleotides) under uncultured Enterobacterales bacterium. RNAcentral's name for it is "bacterial SSU rRNA". It matches the Rfam family "Bacterial small subunit ribosomal RNA", at positions 63 to 710 of the family's 1533-position model. The record is from RNAcentral. Lineage: Bacteria; Pseudomonadati; Pseudomonadota; Gammaproteobacteria; Enterobacterales.